AAGCAAUACGUACUGCCUAUACAGAAAUGUGUAGAAGUGCAUACAUAAUGUUUACAGUUAUUUUAAAAUAUAUAUAUAACUGAAUGAUAAAUAUGUUUUAAGUCACAUAGCCUGUACCACAUUUUUCUCUAUUAAAAAUGACAAUCAUUCACUUGUCUACAAUUAAUAUAUCUUAGUAAGACUAUGACGGAAAAAAACAUUAAAAGACAAUACAUACAUUAUUAUUAUUAUUAUUAUUAUUAUUAUUAUUAUAGUCUUGCUCUGUUGUCAGGCUGGAGUAAGGUCUUGUGAUCUCGGCUCACUGCAACCUCCGCCUCCCAGGUUCAAGCAAUUCUUCUGCCUCAGCCUCCCAAGUAGCUGGGAUUACAGGCAUGCGCUGUGACACCCAGCUAACUUUUGUAUUUUUAGUAGAGAUGGGGUUUCACCAUGUUGGCCAGGAUGGUCGUGAUCUGCCUGCCUCAGCCUCCCAAAGUGCUGGGAUUACAGGUGUGAGCCAC
RNAcentral lists this long non-coding RNA (497 nucleotides) under Callithrix jacchus (white-tufted-ear marmoset). RNAcentral describes it as "lncRNA (ENSCJAG00000058714.2)". Lineage: Eukaryota; Metazoa; Chordata; Mammalia; Primates; Cebidae. The record is from RNAcentral.